Callithrix jacchus (white-tufted-ear marmoset) is the source of this 304-nucleotide unclassified non-coding RNA. It matches the Rfam family "Metazoan signal recognition particle RNA". Rfam says of the family: The signal recognition particle (SRP) is a universally conserved ribonucleoprotein. It is involved in the co-translational targeting of proteins to membranes. The record is from Ensembl. NCBI's taxonomy places the organism in Eukaryota, Metazoa, Chordata, Mammalia, Primates, Cebidae.
ACUGGAUGUGGUGGCUUGUGCCUAUAGUCCCAGCUACUCGGGAGGCUGAGGUGGGGAGAUCAAUCGCUUGAGCCCAGGAGUUCUGGGCUGUAGUGCCCUAUGCCGAUCAGGCGUCUGCAUUAAGUUAGGCAUCAAUGUGGUGACCUCCCGGAAGCAGGGAACCACCAGGUUGCCUAAGGAGGGGUAAACUGGCCAAGGUCAGAAAUGGAGCAGGUCAAAACUCCCAUGCUGAUCAGUAGUGAGAUCAUGCCUGUGAAUACCCACUGCAUUCUAGCCUGGGCAACAUAGCGAGUCCCUGUCUCUC